AGUGAACGCUGGCGGUAGGCCUAACACAUGCAAGUCGAACGGCAGCACAGUAAGAGCUUGCUCUUACGGGUGGCGAGUGGCGGACGGGUGAGGAAUACAUCGGAAUCUACUUUUUCGUGGGGAUUACGGAGGGAAACUUACGGUAAUAACGCAUACGAACUACCGGUGAAAACAGGGGAACCUCGGACCCUGCGCCAAUGAAUUAGCCGAUGUCGGAUUAGCUAGUUGGCGGGGUAAAGGCCCACCAAGGCGACGAUCCGUAGCUGGUCUGAGAGGAUGAUCAGCCACACUGGAACUGAGACACGGUCCAGACUCCUACGGGAGGCAGCAGUGGGGAAUAUUGGACAAUGGGCGCAAGCCUGAUCCAGCCAUACCGCGUGGGUGAAGAAGGCCUUCGGGUUGUAAAGCCCUUUUGUUGGGAAAGAAAAGCAGCAGGUUAAUACCCCGCUGUUCUGACGGUACCCAAAGAAUAAGCACCGGCUAACUUCGUG
Molecule: ribosomal RNA, 491 nt
Filed under: uncultured bacterium
Lineage: Bacteria
Description: partial 16S ribosomal RNA
Rfam family: Bacterial small subunit ribosomal RNA
Source: RNAcentral